This 1528-nucleotide ribosomal RNA is filed under the name Klebsiella pneumoniae MGH 21. RNAcentral's name for it is "bacterial SSU rRNA". It matches the Rfam family "Bacterial small subunit ribosomal RNA". Lineage: Bacteria; Pseudomonadati; Pseudomonadota; Gammaproteobacteria; Enterobacterales; Enterobacteriaceae. The record is from RNAcentral.
AGAGUUUGAUCAUGGCUCAGAUUGAACGCUGGCGGCAGGCCUAACACAUGCAAGUCGAGCGGUAGCACAGAGAGCUUGCUCUCGGGUGACGAGCGGCGGACGGGUGAGUAAUGUCUGGGAAACUGCCUGAUGGAGGGGGAUAACUACUGGAAACGGUAGCUAAUACCGCAUAAUGUCGCAAGACCAAAGUGGGGGACCUUCGGGCCUCAUGCCAUCAGAUGUGCCCAGAUGGGAUUAGCUAGUAGGUGGGGUAACGGCUCACCUAGGCGACGAUCCCUAGCUGGUCUGAGAGGAUGACCAGCCACACUGGAACUGAGACACGGUCCAGACUCCUACGGGAGGCAGCAGUGGGGAAUAUUGCACAAUGGGCGCAAGCCUGAUGCAGCCAUGCCGCGUGUGUGAAGAAGGCCUUCGGGUUGUAAAGCACUUUCAGCGGGGAGGAAGGCGAUAAGGUUAAUAACCUUGUCGAUUGACGUUACCCGCAGAAGAAGCACCGGCUAACUCCGUGCCAGCAGCCGCGGUAAUACGGAGGGUGCAAGCGUUAAUCGGAAUUACUGGGCGUAAAGCGCACGCAGGCGGUCUGUCAAGUCGGAUGUGAAAUCCCCGGGCUCAACCUGGGAACUGCAUUCGAAACUGGCAGGCUAGAGUCUUGUAGAGGGGGGUAGAAUUCCAGGUGUAGCGGUGAAAUGCGUAGAGAUCUGGAGGAAUACCGGUGGCGAAGGCGGCCCCCUGGACAAAGACUGACGCUCAGGUGCGAAAGCGUGGGGAGCAAACAGGAUUAGAUACCCUGGUAGUCCACGCCGUAAACGAUGUCGAUUUGGAGGUUGUGCCCUUGAGGCGUGGCUUCCGGAGCUAACGCGUUAAAUCGACCGCCUGGGGAGUACGGCCGCAAGGUUAAAACUCAAAUGAAUUGACGGGGGCCCGCACAAGCGGUGGAGCAUGUGGUUUAAUUCGAUGCAACGCGAAGAACCUUACCUGGUCUUGACAUCCACAGAACUUUCCAGAGAUGGAUUGGUGCCUUCGGGAACUGUGAGACAGGUGCUGCAUGGCUGUCGUCAGCUCGUGUUGUGAAAUGUUGGGUUAAGUCCCGCAACGAGCGCAACCCUUAUCCUUUGUUGCCAGCGGUUAGGCCGGGAACUCAAAGGAGACUGCCAGUGAUAAACUGGAGGAAGGUGGGGACGACGUCAAGUCAUCAUGGCCCUUACGACCAGGGCUACACACGUGCUACAAUGGCAUAUACAAAGAGAAGCGACCUCGCGAGAGCAAGCGGACCUCAUAAAGUAUGUCGUAGUCCGGAUUGGAGUCUGCAACUCGACUCCAUGAAGUCGGAAUCGCUAGUAAUCGUAGAUCAGAAUGCUACGGUGAAUACGUUCCCGGGCCUUGUACACACCGCCCGUCACACCAUGGGAGUGGGUUGCAAAAGAAGUAGGUAGCUUAACCUUCGGGAGGGCGCUUACCACUUUGUGAUUCAUGACUGGGGUGAAGUCGUAACAAGGUAACCGUAGGGGAACCUGCGGUUGGAUCACCU